Molecule: ribosomal RNA, 301 nt
Filed under: Comissia norfolkensis
Lineage: Eukaryota; Metazoa; Echinodermata; Crinoidea; Comatulida; Comatulidae
Description: partial 16S ribosomal RNA
Rfam family: Bacterial large subunit ribosomal RNA
Source: RNAcentral
AAUAAAAAUAUCUUUGGUUGGGGCAACCACGAAGAAAAAAUAACCUUCGUAAAAAAAAGAAAUAGACAAAUUUAAAACCUUAAUAUAAUGAUCCGGAAAACUCCGAACAAAGAAAAAAGUUACCGCAGGGAUAACAGCGUUAUUCUCUUUAAGAGCUCGUAUUGACAAGAGAGUUUGCGACCUCGAUGUUGGACCGGGGCACCCAAGAGAUGCAGAAGUCUCUAAAGGUAGGUCUGUUCGACCUUUAAAGCCCUACGCGAUCUGAGUUCAGACCGACGCAAGUCAGGUCAGUUUCUAUCUA